RNAcentral lists this ribosomal RNA (247 nucleotides) under uncultured bacterium. RNAcentral describes it as "partial 16S ribosomal RNA". It matches the Rfam family "Bacterial small subunit ribosomal RNA", at positions 108 to 353 of the family's 1533-position model. The record is from RNAcentral.
GAGUAACGCGUGGGUAACCUGCCUCAUACAGGGGGAUAACAGUUAGGAAUGACUGCUAAUACCGCAUAAGCGCACAGUGCUGCAUGGCACAGUGUGAAAAACUCCGGUGGUAUGAGAUGGACCCGCGUCUGAUUAGCUAGUUGGUGGGGUAACGGCCUACCAAGGCGACGAUCAGUAGCCGGCCUGAGAGGGUGAACGGCCACAUUGGGACUGAGACACGGCCCAAACUCCUACGGGAGGCAGCAUG